RNAcentral lists this ribosomal RNA (469 nucleotides) under uncultured bacterium. Its description in RNAcentral is "partial 16S ribosomal RNA". It matches the Rfam family "Bacterial small subunit ribosomal RNA", at positions 27 to 507 of the family's 1533-position model. The record is from RNAcentral.
GGACGAACGCUGGCGGCGUGCUUAACACAUGCAAGUCGAACGGAAAGGCCCUGCUUUUGUGGGGUGCUCGAGUGGCGAACGGGUGAGUAACACGUGAGUAACCUGCCCUUGACUUUGGGAUAACUUCAGGAAACUGGGGCUAAUACCGGAUAGGAGCUCCUGCUGCAUGGUGGGGGUUGGAAAGUUUCGGCGGUUGGGGAUGGACUCGCGGCUUAUCAGCUUGUUGGUGGGGUAGUGGCUUACCAAGGCUUUGACGGGUAGCCGGCCUGAGAGGGUGACCGGCCACAUUGGGACUGAGAUACGGCCUAGACUCCUACGGGAGGCAGCAGUGGGGAAUAUUGCACAAUGGGCGGAAGCCUGAUGCAGCAACGCCGCGUGCGGGAUGACGGCCUUCGGGUUGUAAACCGCUUUCGCCUGUGACGAAGCGUGAGUGACGGUAAUGGGUAAAGAAGCACCGGCUAACUACGUG